RNAcentral lists this ribosomal RNA (835 nucleotides) under uncultured marine microorganism. RNAcentral describes it as "bacterial SSU rRNA". It matches the Rfam family "Bacterial small subunit ribosomal RNA", at positions 667 to 1501 of the family's 1533-position model. The record is from RNAcentral.
UUCCCGGUGUAGCGGUGAAAUGCGUAGAUAUCGGGAAGAACACCAGUGGCGAAGGCGCUCUGCUGGGCCAUCACUGACGCUCAUGGACGAAAGCCAGGGGAGCGAAAGGGAUUAGAUACCCCUGUAGUCCUGGCCGUAAACGAUGAACACUAGGUGUCGGGGGAAUCGACCCCCUCGGUGUCGUAGCCAACGCGUUAAGUGUUCCGCCUGGGGAGUACGCACGCAAGUGUGAAACUCAAAGGAAUUGACGGGGGCCCGCACAAGCGGUGGAGUAUGUGGUUUAAUUCGAUGCAACGCGAAGAACCUUACCAGGGUUUGACAUCCUGCGAAUCUCUUGGAAACGAGAGAGUGCCUUCGGGAGCGCAGUGACAGGUGGUGCAUGGCUGUCGUCAGCUCGUGUCGUGAGAUGUUGGGUUAAGUCCCGCAACGAGCGCAACCCACGUCUUUAGUUGCCAGCAUUUAGUUGGGCACUCUAGNNAGACCGCCGGUGAUAAACCGGAGGAAGGUGUGGAUGACGUCAAGUCAUCAUGCCCCUUACAUCCUGGGCUACACACGUACUACAAUGCUACGGACAAAGAGCAGCAAGUUCGCGAGGACAAGCAAAUCUCAUAAACCGUGGCUCAGUUCAGAUCGUAGGCUGCAACUCGCCUACGUGAAGGAGGAAUCGCUAGUAAUCGCAGGUCAGCAUACUGCGGUGAAUACGUUCCCGGGCCUUGUACACACCGCCCGUCACACCAUGGAAGUUGGCCACGCCCGAAGCCGUUACUCCAACCCUUGUGGAGGAGGACGUCGAAGGUGGGGCUGAUGACUGGGGUGAAGUCGUAACAAGGUAACC